RNAcentral lists this ribosomal RNA (389 nucleotides) under uncultured bacterium. RNAcentral describes it as "bacterial SSU rRNA". It matches the Rfam family "Bacterial small subunit ribosomal RNA", at positions 29 to 419 of the family's 1533-position model. The record is from RNAcentral.
AUUGAACGCUGGCGGCAUGCCUUACACAUGCAAGUCGAACGGCAGCACGGGGGCAACCCUGGUGGCGAGUGGCGAACGGGUGAGUAAUGCAUCGGAACGUGCCCAGUAGUGGGGGAUAGCCCGGCGAAAGCCGGAUUAAUACCGCAUACGUACUGAGGUAGAAAGCGGGGGACCGAAAGGCCUCGCGCUAUUGGAGCGGCCGAUGUCGGAUUAGCUUGUUGGUGGGGUAAUGGCCUACCAAGGCGACGAUCCGUAACUGGUCUGAGAGGACGACCAGUCACACUGGGACUGAGACACGGCCCAGACUCCUACGGGAGGCAGCAGUGGGGAAUUUUGGACAAUGGGCGCAAGCCUGAUCCAGCAAUGCCGCGUGUGUGAAGAAGGCCUUC